UUCGAUAUUGAGAUGCCUGCCGGCAUCAGAAGGUCGAGCGCUCAACACUGGAUGCUUCAUGAGGUACUCCAACAAUGAUUUCCUUAACAAGGAAGUGGAAAAUGAUAGUUCAGGAGGUAAAUAAAUAAAUUGCAGCUCUUAACACUUUUAGUGUACUAAAAAAAAUUAUGCUAGGUUGCAGCUUCCUACAUUGAGAAAAAUUAACAUAAACUUAGUGGUAAAUCUUGAUUGUGAGUCCAAUUCGUUGUCUUGUGCAGGUAAUGUAUUGGUGAUAGUGGUUGCAGUAGUCAGUUCGGUGAUCGUCACGGUGGUUGUAGUGACUAUCGGGGCAUAUAUCUGCAAACAGAGAUACAUUCAAAAGAAAAGAAGAGGUAGGUAUUUGACUCAUAGCUUAUCUCUAUUUAUUCAUGAUAUAACUGCAUAUAUACUUAUAUCAUAGUUAUAAAUUAUAUUUUAUUUUUCUAAGAGCUACACAUUGUGUUGCAAACAAAUUGUGGAAUCAUUAGCAGUUAUAACACAUCUGCAUUAAGAAUGGUGACCGAUCCAAAUGGUCAUUCUGAUUUACAGGAUCAAAUGACGCAGAAAAGUUAGCCAAGACUCUUCAACAUAAAAGCUUGAAUUUCAAGUACUCUACAUUGGAAAAAGCUACAGGAUCUUUUAACGACGAUAACAAGUUAGGGCACGGAGGAUUUGGAACAGUUUAUAAAGUAUUUCUGUUAUCUGAAGACCUAUAAGUAUAACACCACCAUUUUACAUAUCAAGCGAUUUGUAACAAUUUAGCUGUUGCAGGGAGUUUUACCUGAUGGAAGACAGAUUGCUAUCAAGAGGUUAUAUUUCAACAACAGACAUAGAGCAGCUGAUUUCUACAAUGAAGUCAACAUAAUUAGUGGUGUGGAACACAAGAAUCUAGUUAGACUAUUAGGAUGCAGUUGUUCGGGACCCGAAAGCUUGCUUGUAUAUGAAUAUCUUCCCAACAGAAGUCUCGAUCGCUUCAUUUUUGGUAACGUCUGAAUUCAUGCUGUAAUUUCGACGAUUAAUUCAUGCUUGUUAACGCAUCACUUCAACCAUUAUGUGAUUGUAAUCAAUUUAACAUAAUCUGAACUAAAUAUAAUUGUUUCUUAUACAUGACAGAUAAAAACAAGGGCAAAGAACUAAACUGGGAAAAGAGAUAUGAAAUUAUUAUUGGGACAGCUGAAGGAUUAGUUUACCUGCAUGAGAACUCCAAUGUCCGGAUAAUUCAUAGAGAUAUAAAAGCCAGCAACAUCCUAUUGGAUGCAAAG
This 1280-nucleotide long non-coding RNA is filed under the name Cicer arietinum (chickpea). Its description in RNAcentral is "long non-coding RNA (CARI_LNC000417)". Lineage: Eukaryota; Viridiplantae; Streptophyta; Magnoliopsida; Fabales; Fabaceae. The record is from RNAcentral.